GAAAAUAUUUGCCCACGCCUGCUUAGAGUAUCUUUUGAAAAGAGAUGAUUAUCUGAUGAAAGGAGGGAAACAACUGAAAGGUCCUCAAAUUCAUGUUGAAUAUGGUCAUCCUUCAAUAUGAUUACACCACAUCUGAGAGGGAAAAAAACAGAUACAGCUGUUCUUUGAAGUGAUAUAUUCUUUACUUUCAUUUGUGGGUUUUUCGGUGCAUUUGUCUGGUAAUGUAAAAGAGCAAGGUUACUAGUACCAUGUGCCACUUCAACUACAAAAUGAUAGAUGCAAUAAUACAACGAGAAAUCUGCAAAUAAAGGCUGUCCAGUAAUAGCAGAAUGGCUUAUCGGCAAACCCAACAAUAGGAAAAAGCAGGGGAGAAAGUGAGUGGUGUUUUGAGAGGGGCAGCUGGUGUGUUUCCUUGGUUGUGAUCGUUCUUGCUGCUAUUUUGGGACACACUCAGGAAGUGAUGUACAGACAGGCUGCUGAUGGAGAAGGCACAAGCAAACACGGCUCAACCAAAACAAGUGUGACUGAAUCUCCCGGGGUGCCCACUGGGUGGAUGACAAACAAAGGAGAGGAACUUUAUGAAAAUGACACACCUCAAGGAUUCUUCACUAAAUAUAUUUUGGUUUUUUUGAGUGUCGGCUUUAGCAAACUGCAAUCAAAUGUAUUUUACCCCUAACAAUGACUAUACAGCAGACCGAGCUCAACCGCGACUCGGUAACUUUUGUGCUUGUCCCAUGGAACUAAUUGUGUUCGGGAUGGAAUGAAUCGUGCGUGGCAGACUUGCGGUUGACUUCCUGUUUUUUUUUUUGCAAGUGAAAAUUAGUAUUGUUUUUUGCAACACACCUCCUGUGUCGCCUUUCCUAUGGCACCACCAUACAGUAUUUUGUUUUAUUGACCUAAAAUGGCAAUUAAAGUUUGAUAUUUAAUGUGUCUCACCCUACAAACAAUUCUCGUAAAGUGAAUUGUUUGUAGGGUGAGACAGCUUAUCGGAACAAGAGCUUUUAGCACGCACGUGUAAACAAUGCACAAUACCUGUAUGCAGUGAUGGGAAAAACGGCAUUAUAAGUAACGGUGGUGUUGUGUUUUUUUUUCAGCAAUACAACAUCGAACUACCGU
Molecule: long non-coding RNA, 1116 nt
Organism: Hippocampus comes (tiger tail seahorse)
Lineage: Eukaryota; Metazoa; Chordata; Actinopteri; Syngnathiformes; Syngnathidae
Exons: 3
Source: RefSeq, a predicted model, not a curated record